RNAcentral lists this ribosomal RNA (404 nucleotides) under uncultured Salpingoecidae. Its description in RNAcentral is "partial small subunit ribosomal RNA". It matches the Rfam family "Eukaryotic small subunit ribosomal RNA", at positions 30 to 432 of the family's 1831-position model. Lineage: Eukaryota; Choanoflagellata; Craspedida; Salpingoecidae. The record is from RNAcentral.
GCUUGUCUCAAAGAUUAAGCCAUGCAUGUCUUAGUGUAAAUAACUCUUAUGAAACUGCGAAUGGCUCAUUAAAUCAGUUAUCGUUUAUUUGAUGGUCCCUUACUACAUGGAUAACCGUAGUAAUUCUAGAGCUAAUACAUGCGAAAAGACCCGACUUCUCGGAAGGGUUGCAUUUAUUAGAUACAAAACCAAUGCGGGGGCAACUCCGGUGUCUUGGUGAUUCAUAAUAACUUUUGCGGAUCGCAUGGCCUUGAGCCGGCGACGAAUCAUUCAAAUUUCUGCCCUAUCAACUUUCGAUGGUACGGUAUUGGCCUACCAUGGUUACCACGGGUAACGGGGAAUUAGGGUUCGGUUCCGGAGAGGGGGCCUGAGAAAUGGCCACCACAUCCAAGGAAGGCAGCAGG